UAUGCUAUUUCACAACACAUAAACCUGAAUAUCAGGUUUUGUGUGUACUGUGAUGUCUAUAUUUAAUAAUCUAGAUGCAUAUGGUUUAUAUUGAAAUCUAACUAUGUUUCAACAUUGUGAACCUGAUAUUGAUUUCAAUGACUCAUGUUUCAUUUUCUUGGUUAUUUCUUGUCGCAGAUGUGGUACAAAACAAAUGCAGAGCUCCAGUCUCGAGGAGGCUCAUGCUCUGCUAAGAGUAAACGUGUCGACAGCUGGUGGCUCUGUGAGGCUGUACUUUGAGCUAAAUGCUAACAUUAGCAUGGCAACAUGAGGAGGAAAAGUCAGUAGAUUUCAUCAUCGCGGCCAGACCACGAAUGUCUGUACAAAAGUGCAUGGUAAUACAUCAAAUAGUUGAAUUUUCAGUCUGGACCGACUGACAUUGCCAUCCCUAGAUUCAUGUCUAAUUGUGGCCAGAAAUCAUAAACAUUCAUUAGAAUUCCUUAAAAGUACCCUAAUCAAGUAAGUGCUAUUUGAUACUCUCCACUAUCACCAUAUCAGUACAUUAUGCAGCCUAAUAUCGCCUUGGCCUUUUAGUGCCCGCUUCAGAUGUGAUGUGUCGCUAUCAAGUGUCAGCAGCUCAGCACAGACUGGGGCCGUCUGAAGGACGUCUCUGGAAUUGAUCAAUAGUGGAAGGCCACUUCAUGGUGGCCUCUAACAUGGUGCUGGAUUGUAUUGUGUUGCAGGCACACAUAGACACACAAACUCCAUUUCUGCAUCCAGCUGCCCACGCAGAGAUUUGCUCAUUUCAGCAGUGGGGUUUGGAAGUAAGUCAAUGGAUUUCCCCUAAAUUCCACUUCUCCACUUCCUUCUAAUCCACUUCAGACUCCUCUUUCCCCUGCUGUAGCGGUAUGAUCGGUAUGUCUCGAACAUGCUUACUCUAACUAACACUAACUCUAACUUUCCUGUUUGUGGUUGUGGUUGUGGUUCCUGUUCUGAAACAUAGCAGAUGCAUGGCCAAAUAUAGGUCUGUGUGCAUUCAAUUUAUCUAAACCAGAAUAACUCAGUUCCUGGAUGUCUCUUUAUCUUUAUCGAUCCGCUGUACAACUGACAAAGAUGUUCCUCCCCCGGUCUCCUUCCUGGCGCAUCUUGAAUACGAGCGAUAUAUACAGAAGAUGAGAGGGUUGGCAUGAGGAAAACAAAUGGAAGCAGUGUUUCUGCUGUGCCACCUCAAUGUUCUCAGAUUAUGUAACUGCAUCCCUCAAUGGAAACCAAUCUCACAAGCCAAACCGCUUUGUCAAAACCUGCAAUGGGUCGCCAAAUGAUAUUUGUGCCUUCCAAAAUGUUGAUUUUUUUCAAACAUUUCUAAGACAAUAACAACUGAGCUCUUCAUUUUGACCCUUGAUGGUUACUUCUAAGGUUGGUUUCUUGAGCCUGCUAGCAAACAAGCAUCUACACUACAUGUUUUAUUAGGUCCCUACUGAAGCAAGCAUGUCUGAAAUACAUUUGGCAGUAGCAUAGCGGUACAGUUGAUGCCUUUUCAAAUCAGCAGUGUGACAUAAUGGCAAUUCAACUAUUACUUAACCUUUGUAUUAUGUUAUGGGUCAAUUUGACCCAUUUCAGUUUUCAGUCCUUGUCAGCGUUGUAAUGUCAUCUCUCUGAGACACACAAUAAAAAAAUAGCUCCAAAAGAUUUACAACGAAAGAAGCUUUAUCACAGAUUCUGGACUGUGAUAGUGAUGUAGAGGAAGAGGUUUCAGAGACCGAGGACAAUACUAUUGACGAUCCGGAUUAUGAACUUUCCUACGAUGAAGAUGAUUCAGAGGACGAUCCUGCCGUAGUCUCUCCAUCUCCAAUGAUAUUCAAUCAGCAUUUCAGCUCUUCAUAUCCCCACCAAUAGAGAGGAUCAUACUGGACAUGACCAACUUGGAGGGGAGGGGCGUGUAUGUCAAGAGAAAUGGAAGCCACUGGAUCAGAUUGACUUGCAUUCAUACAUUGUAAUCCUGGUAUUAGCCGGAGUGUACAAGUCAAGGGGAGAAGCAGCUGCCAGUCUAUGCAAUAAAGAGAAUGGAUGGCCAAUCUUUCGAGCAACAA
Long non-coding RNA from Cottoperca gobio, 2069 nucleotides. The record is from Ensembl. Lineage: Eukaryota; Metazoa; Chordata; Actinopteri; Perciformes; Bovichtidae.